CUAAGCAUGACAUGUAUUUGCAUAUGCAUUUUUGCAAAUAAAAGUACUCAUGAUUUAAAUUGGUUUUCAUUAAAUCAAAUUUUCAAAAGAAAGUCGAGUAAGAAUAUUGUUGGUGUUCUUAACUCAAGAAUUUAGUUUUCAAAUAUUUAUUAAAUUUUGAAAACCCGGCUAAGUGAAUCAUAGGAUGAUAAGCACUUCACCAUGACUUAAGAUUAGAUUGAGAAAACCUAUUAAGAAUAGAAUUUCUUGUAGGCUUUAUGAACCAAGGGGAUUAGCGCUGCUUUCCCAAGACGAGUUUAUGUGAUUAUGAUCUUCAGGCUUUGCCUAUCCAGGUUGGCUGGCCGGUGCUGACGGGACGGAGCUGAGGCUAGAGUUAAAUUCCUAUGUUAGACUUCCGCUGUAGCAAUUACUCAUAUCAGUCUUUUGUUUUCCCAACUUAAGAUCUUUAUCAUAAAUUUCAAAUGAUAUACCUGACCGAGCUUAGACUCUUUACUAUUAAAUUUAUGCCAAUGAAUGUCGGUUGUCAGAAGCAUGAAACAAAACUUGUGAUCCAAAGGGGCAUAGCCCGACUUUCUAUCCUAUUUCGGGUUUUAACAAGGUAUUUCCCUUGUUUAUUU
This is a long non-coding RNA of Salvia miltiorrhiza (redroot sage), 617 nucleotides long. RefSeq lists it as uncharacterized. The record is from RefSeq and is a predicted model, not a curated record. The transcript is spliced from 2 exons. Lineage: Eukaryota; Viridiplantae; Streptophyta; Magnoliopsida; Lamiales; Lamiaceae.